Nymphaea colorata (pocket water lily) is the source of this 3803-nucleotide long non-coding RNA. RefSeq lists it as uncharacterized. The record is from RefSeq and is a predicted model, not a curated record. The transcript has 12 exons. NCBI's taxonomy places the organism in Eukaryota, Viridiplantae, Streptophyta, Magnoliopsida, Nymphaeales, Nymphaeaceae.
UUCUGCCUGCCCGUUAGGACAUAAUAUAUUUUUUUUUCCCUUGCCCCGUUGCCCGUGGAGAAGGCUCGUCUUCCUCUUGCAGAAGCUCUCCCGCAUCCAGCUGCUCACGUCUGCAUCAGCUCCUCUUCCUCAUCCCUGUCGAGUUAUGACUUGUGACCUAAUUUUACUGAUGGCGGGUCAUUUUUGUCGUGAGAAAGGGAAGGCUCAAUGAGGCAGCACAUUAUUGUAGACAGGCUUUAGCAGUCGUCAUCUGCCCCAAUUAAUUGUCAUAGUAACCUUUGGGAAUGCGAUGAAGGUUCAUGGUCCAUUACAAGAAGUGAGUUACUUUGUUCUUUGAAGAGGAAAUCUGUUUUCUAUAAAUUCUAUAGAAUAACAUAGUGUGAUUUCUUUGCUAAUGUACUUUAAAUUUGGUUUUCUUUUUAUUUGUAUUAUUCUUGCCCUGUGUGCUUGAGUGUUGUAUGUUCAUCUUGGCUGCAAGCAUUUUGUGUUUUGAUCUUCUUGCUAGUGAUUAUAGUUUUCUGAAGUUUCUGGGUUUUUUACUGACCUUUAAUAGUUUAAUUAGGAAAAAUUGUUUUUGAGAACUUUUAUUCUGUUAUACUUUGUACAGAAAUUGGGAAGAAUAAAAAAAUACCAAAAUUGUUCAAAAAAUUCUGAAUUUUGGUUUUCUAAAAUCCUCUACUUCUGUAGAGUAAAAAUAUCCCUAGUUUUCAUAUCGGUUCUUUACAAUAUAAUGUCUUUUUAACCCAGAUUUGUGAACCUUUCAGAAAUCGAAAAGUCUGCCUCUGUUUUAUAUCCAAACACUUUUUUACUUUCGCUUUCUGCAGACAGCCUUACAUUCAGAGUCUAACAGUGUCCAAUCCCAUGAUUGUCAUCAUCAUUUCCCUAAUGAUUUUACGAAAGCCACUGCAUAGGACUGGUUUAUCCUGGGCUUCGUUCAAGGAAAGAGAAGAACUUAACCUAAACCUCUUGUAAAAUCAGUUGAUGACCUAACAUUUAUGAGAACUUGUCACCCUUAAACCAACCUUUUAUGUAGAAUAUCAUACAUUUGUGGGAAAGUUGGUGAAGUUCGUUCUUCUACUCAGUCUACCCAUCUUGUUUUGCAUUCACCCAUCUCUUUAGGGAGUAGAGCUUAUGCCUCCUGGUGAUAUACCAUUUGAUGUCAAGAACAUUUGUAAAAUAAUUUUUUUUUAAUUUUGCUUAAAAACAUUUUAAAAAUGUCUUCGCUCAUAAUGAUAUGUCUUUGCUUUACUCUUAGUAUCUUCUCGAGUAGGAGAAACUUUCAAGUUUUUGUUGUCAAUCAAUGGAAGAGGAAAGCUGAAAAAAUCCUGGAUUUGAACAAUAAGGAAAACUCCUAUGAAGCUGAGAAAGUCAAGACUAGGAAAUGCUAUUGACUCUGGUGUUCAAACAUUUGCAAGGAUUUAGCCUGAAAAUAUAUUGAGAGAGAAGCCACAAUGCUCUGUAAGAUCUUGGCAGGUAGCAAAAUGAGUGUUGAGAGAUGGGCUCGGGGCUUGUGUAGUUGUUCAUCUGAGUCAGUAAUCAAGAGUACCGGGUAGGCAUAAAGCUGAUUUAUGUCUAUUUCGCGAAGAUAAUGGCUUAUGAACCUUUGGCUCGUUGAAAACCCGUAAGGUGAAGCGGGUUGGACACGUGACAAAGCUACACAUAACCACCAAAGCAGUGGAGCUUCGUAGUAGCCUUUGAGGUGGUGAGGUAUUCCCUCAAAGGUGAAGGUCGGCCUGAAAAAAAAAAUCAAAAGGCAAAAAGCUGAAUGCAAAAAAAAGAAAAAAAAAAAAGAAAAAAAAAAGGUGUCUGCCAAGAGAUGAAAGACAUGAAGGCUGAACUCGCAGGAAUUGAAUGUAACGAUCUUUUGUGGAUGUGUGAAUUUGGGGUCAAUAUCUGCUCCUUUUUUUUGAUUACCUAAGAUGUCGAGGAUGAUUCCUUUAUGUUCACAUUUUGGAAAUUGAAAGAUAUCCCUUCUAGAGGUUCAACGACAUUGAUGCGAAAUGAAUCCUAAUCCUUGUAUGGUACUAUGGGUAAGUGAAUGACAUAUUAUUUGCACAACACGAGCACUUAAGUUUAUGAGUUAAAGUGAUAAUUUUGAACUAUUUCAAAGUAAAAUUUGACAUCUCUUGUUAUGUUUCGAGGUUUUCUAGGCAUAAGAGGAACUAAACGAUCCCCUUUGGUCUUGAAAGGUGUUUGCCAUUUCAUUAACAAACCACUAGUCCGUUCAUGGAAUAGAUGAAACUCUUCAAACCUAGUCCACUCAUACUGAAUGUGACAAUUUGUCCAUCUUUUCUUUUGUCUUCAAAGAGAUCAUUUGGGAACCUGACCCAUAAUUCCAUCUUAACCGAGUGUCUUCAACCUGUUUUUCAAUGACAUAACCCAGACUUAGGGAAGAUCUCUUAUUGGUCGAUCUUGAACUGUGACAUUUUUGAAAAAUUUUAUCCUUUAAAGUUGUAUGAGUUUUGUUCCUGGCUUCAUCUAAUAUUUGUCUUGGCUUGCAAUACAUGGUUUUGCAAAAUGGGGUGGAGUUAUUCUUCAUCGUCACCAACCACCCUCACAUGCCUUUGCGCUGUCGCCUUCAUAGUUUUGGACCAGGCUGGCUGAAUGACCUACUCCCCGUCGAUUGAGGCUGUUGCUUUUAAUCCAGUUCUUCCCAUUCCCACGAGAUGCUUUUCCUACAUUGGAGGAGAAGGUGAGCUGAGGUUGGUCCACAAUUAUGUCAGAAUGUAAGGCCCAGGAUCAUGAACUAAAAGGCCUGUUGUGGUUGGCGAACCAAGAGCCUUUGAUGCCAUUCACCAUUCAACGACAACUGUUCUAGAAAAACCAAAGUGAUUGCCUUUUCUUAGCUGCAAAGUCAGAUGGGACUCCUCAUCUCCUGAAGGCUGCUUUUGAAAAUUGCCAUAAGCACAACUUUCAAUUUUCCUAUUUUCUUUCUGCUGAAAAAUGCUCAUUGGCAUACUUGAUUCUUACCAAAACUAUAUUGGGGAGCACAAGGAGCAAGUCAUUGAUGCUGUUACACUGACGACAACAUCUAUGCCCUUGUAAGUUUUAAGUACUUUAUAUGUGUAGUUGCUUUUCUACUAACUAGAUGCGCACAUGUAUAGAUCUUGUUCAUGGGGCACAUGUAUAGAUCUUGUUCAUGCUUGCUAGUGGUAUUCAAAAUUCUUGGACUAUACAAUUGAUGACAUGCCUAUUGUGGGUUGGAGAUGCGCUCAUUUGGGAUCCAAAUGUAGUAUGAAGUUUAUGGUUUGACAAGACCAUCUUUUUUUAGGAAAAAGGAAGCACUUCCCCGAAUAUGUCAUUCACCGGCAAUACCGUCUCAUAUCCAGACGGGACACCCAUUGACGGGACACCCAUUGGUAGACGGCAGCAGCAGACCACCACCAGUAGGCGGAGAGCGGUAAGUGGAUUAUCCAUCAGCGAUCAGGCAGCGGAGGUGAUUGCCUUUUCUUAGCUGCAAAGUCAGAUGGGACUCCUCAUCUCCUGAAGGCUGCUUUUGAAAAUUGCCAUAAGCACAACUUUCAAUUUUCCUAUUUUCUUUCUGCUGAAAAAUGCUCAUUGGCAUACUUGAUUCUUACCAAAACUAUAUUGGGGAGCACAAGGAGCAAGUCAUUGAUGCUGUUACACUGACGACAGCAUCUAUGCCCUUUGGGUUGGAGAUGCGCUCAUUUGGGAUCCAAAUGUAGUAUGAAGUUUAUGGUUAGACAAGACCAUCUUUUUUUAGGAAAAAGGAAGCACUUCCCUGAAUAUGUCAUUCACCGGCAAUACCGUCUCAUAUCCAGACGGGACACCCAUUGGUAGAC